CCUACGGGAGGCAGCAGUGAGGAAUAUUGGUCAAUGGCCGGAAGGCUGAACCAGCCAUGCCGCGUGAAGGUCAGUGCCCUAUGGGCGUUAAACUUCUUUUGUGCGGGAGCAAUACUGGUCACGUGUGGCCAGACGAGAGUACCGUACGAAUAAGCAUCGGCUAACUCCGUGCCAGCAGCCGCGGUAAUACGGGGGAGGCAAGCGUUAUCCGGAUAUAUUGGGUUUAAAGGGUGCGUAGGCUGUGAGGUAAGUCAGCGUGGAAAUGCCCCCGCUCUAAGGGGUGAAGUGCCAUUGAUACUGGCUCGCUGGAAUGCGGAUGCGGUGGGAGGAAUGUGUGGUGUAGCGGUGAAAUGCAUAGAGAUCACACAGAACACCGAUUGCGAAGGCAUCUCACGAAUCAGCGAUUGACGCUGAUGCACGAAAGCGUGGGUAUCAAACAGGAUUAGAUACCCGAGUAGUC
Molecule: ribosomal RNA, 460 nt
Filed under: uncultured bacterium
Lineage: Bacteria
Description: partial 16S ribosomal RNA
Rfam family: Bacterial small subunit ribosomal RNA
Source: RNAcentral